RNAcentral lists this ribosomal RNA (462 nucleotides) under uncultured bacterium. RNAcentral describes it as "partial 16S ribosomal RNA". It matches the Rfam family "Bacterial small subunit ribosomal RNA", at positions 28 to 507 of the family's 1533-position model. The record is from RNAcentral.
GACGAACGCUGGCGGCGUGCUUAACACAUGCAAGUUGAACGGAAAGGCCCUUCGGGGUACUCGAGUGGCGAACGGGUGAGUAACACGUGGGUGAUCUGCCCUGCACUUUGGGAUAAGCCUGGGAAACUGGGUCUAAUACCGAAUAGGACCACGCGCUUCAUGGUGUGUGGUGGAAAGCUUUUGCGGUGUGGGAUGGGCCCGCGGCCUAUCAGCUUGUUGGUGGGGUAAUGGCCUACCAAGGCGACGACGGGUAGCCGGCCUGAGAGGGUGACCGGCCACACUGGGACUGAGAUACGGCCCAGACUCCUACGGGAGGCAGCAGUGGGGAAUAUUGCACAAUGGGCGCAAGCCUGAUGCAGCGACGCCGCGUGAGGGAUGACGGCCUUCGGGUUGUAAACCUCUUUCAAUAGGGACGAAGCGCAAGUGACGGUACCUAUAGAAGAAGCACCGGCCAACUACGUG